CUUUAGUGUUCCAUGGCUGAGUCCGAGUGCACUGCAAGCAAUGCCUAUUUUUUUUUUUUUUUCACAGAUUCAUCAUUUGUUGGCAGCCCUUGGUGGGAAGAGGAUGGCUUGGGCUCUGAGAGUCAAAGAAGUGGAGAUGGGGCCUGUGAAACUCCAAUGGGAGGCCAUCUUUGUCUUCAUCAACAGACAGCUGGCUGCAUAUAAAUCUGACAGUCAUUCCAUAGAUUUCCCUGCAGAGCUAAAAAGAAAAGUACCUGUACAAUGUGCUAGUCCGGGAGAAUCUUCAAGAUGUAUCAUUUUAAAAUAUAAACGGAGAGCAGCAGAACGUAUGCAGGCUCACAUUUGCUUUAAAAACAAGCAUCAAGGACGGGGGAUAUAGCUCAGUUAGUAGAGCACUUGCCUA
This 403-nucleotide long non-coding RNA is filed under the name Urocitellus parryii (Arctic ground squirrel). RNAcentral's name for it is "lncRNA (ENSUPAG00010013574.1)". Lineage: Eukaryota; Metazoa; Chordata; Mammalia; Rodentia; Sciuridae. The record is from RNAcentral.